This 309-nucleotide ribosomal RNA is filed under the name [Eubacterium] sulci. RNAcentral describes it as "partial 16S ribosomal RNA". It matches the Rfam family "Bacterial small subunit ribosomal RNA", at positions 1 to 297 of the family's 1533-position model. Lineage: Bacteria; Bacillati; Bacillota; Clostridia; Peptostreptococcales; Anaerovoracaceae. The record is from RNAcentral.
UUUUACAAUGGAGAGUUUGAUCCUGGCUCAGGAUGAACGCUAGCUACAGGCUUAACACAUGCAAGUCGCGGGGCAGCAUAGUGAUUGCUUGCAAUUACUGAUGGCGACCGGCGCACGGGUGAGUAACGCGUAUCCAACCUACCCUUUACUACGGGAUAACCCGGCGAAAGUCGGACUAAUACCGUAUGUAGUCCAUUGACGGCAUCCGAUUUGGACCAAAGGCUUAGCGGUAAAGGAUGGGGAUGCGUCCGAUUAGCUUGACGGCGGGGUAACGGCCCACCGUGGCCACGAUCGGUAGGGGUUCUGAGA